This 1071-nucleotide ribosomal RNA is filed under the name Pleospora sp. OTU08. RNAcentral describes it as "LSU rRNA". It matches the Rfam family "Eukaryotic large subunit ribosomal RNA", at positions 318 to 1409 of the family's 3401-position model. Lineage: Eukaryota; Fungi; Ascomycota; Dothideomycetes; Pleosporales; Pleosporaceae. The record is from RNAcentral.
AAAUAUUGGCCAGAGACCGAUAGCGCACAAGUAGAGUGAUCGAAAGAUGAAAAGCACUUUGGAAAGAGAGUCAAACAGCACGUGAAAUUGUUGAAAGGGAAGCGCUUGCAGCCAGACUUGCUUGCAGUUGCUCAUCCGGGCUUUUGCCCGGUGCACUCUUCUGUAGGCAGGCCAGCAUCAGUUUGGGCGGUGGGAUAAAGGUCUCUGUCACGUACCUCUCUUCGGGGAGGCCUUAUAGGGGAGACGACAUACCACCAGCCUAGACUGAGGUCCGCGCAUCUGCUAGGAUGCUGGCGUAAUGGCUGUAAGCGGCCCGUCUUGAAACACGGACCAAGGAGUCUAACAUCUAUGCGAGUGUUUGGGUGUCAAGCCCGAGCGCGUAAUGAAAGUGAACGGAGGUGGGAACCCGCAAGGGUGCACCAUCGACCGAUCCUGAAGUUUUCGGAAGGAUUUGAGUAAGAGCAUGGCUGUUGGGACCCGAAAGAUGGUGAACUAUGCUUGAAUAGGGUGAAGCCAGAGGAAACUCUGGUGGAGGCUCGCAGCGGUUCUGACGUGCAAAUCGAUCGUCAAAUUUGGGCAUAGGGGCGAAAGACUAAUCGAACUAUCUAGUAGCUGGUUCCUGCCGAAGUUUCCCUCAGGAUAGCAGUAACGUAUUCAGUUUUAUGAGGUAAAGCGAAUGAUUAGAGGCAUGGGGGUUGAAACAACCUUCACCUAUUCUCAAACUUUAAAUAUGUAAGAAGCCCUUUGUUACUUGAUUGAACGCGGGCAUUUGAAUGAAACGUUAUUAGUGGGCCAUUUUUGGUAAGCAGAACUGGCGAUGCGGGAUGAACCGAACGAGGGGUUACGGUGCCGGAGUACACGCUCAUCAGACACCACAAAAGGUGUUGGUUCAUCUAGACAGCAGGACGGUGGCCAUGGAAGUCGGAAUCCGCUAAGGAGUGUGUAACAACUCACCUGCCGAAUGAACUAGCCCUGAAAAUGGAUGGCGCUCAAGCGUGUCACCUAUACCCCUCCGCCGGGGCAAAAUUUACGCCCCGGCGAGUAGGCAGGCGUGGAGGCUCGUGANGAAGC